RNAcentral lists this ribosomal RNA (460 nucleotides) under uncultured bacterium. RNAcentral describes it as "partial 16S ribosomal RNA". It matches the Rfam family "Bacterial small subunit ribosomal RNA", at positions 338 to 795 of the family's 1533-position model. The record is from RNAcentral.
CCUACGGGCGGCAGCAGUGAGGAAUAUUGGUCAAUGGCCGGAAGGCUGAACCAGCCAUGCCGCGUGAAGGUCAGUGCCCUAUGGGCGUUAAACUUCUUUUGUGCGGGAGCAAUAAUGGUCACGUGUGGCCAGACGAGAGUACCGUACAAAUAAGCAUCGGCUAACUCCGUGCCAGCAGCCGCGGUAAUCCGGGGGAUGCAAGCGUUACCCGGAUUUAUUGGGUUUAAAGGGUGCGUAGGCUGUGAGGUAAGUCAGCGGGGAAAUGCCCCCGCUCAACGGGGUGAAGUGCCAUUGAUACUGCCUUGCUGGAAUGCGGAUGCCGUGGGAGGAAUGUGUGGUGUAGCGGUGAAAUGCAUAGAUAUCACACAGAACACCGAUUGCGAAGGCAUCUCACGAAUCCGCGAUUGACGCUGAUGCACGAAAGCGUGGGUAUCAAACAGGAUUAGAUACCCGAGUAGUC